Molecule: long non-coding RNA, 744 nt
Filed under: Carica papaya (papaya)
Lineage: Eukaryota; Viridiplantae; Streptophyta; Magnoliopsida; Brassicales; Caricaceae
Description: long non-coding RNA (CPAP_LNC007558)
Source: RNAcentral
AAUCUUGAAUUUGGUCAAUUCUCACAACCGCAUUUACUUUAAUAUUGUUAAAUUAUAAAUAGAAGAAAGUUAAUAAUUAAUCUUAAAAAUAUACAUUUGAUUCAGGUUACAUAAAUUAUUAUGAUAAAUAAAUUUAGUCAGACAUAAUAAAUUCAGCAACAACAAUUAUAAUUGAGAAGUAUACGAUCAUGUAAUAAUUAAAAAUAAAUAUAUAAAAAAUUUUAAACACUACCAUUUGAAAAUAUAUUACUUAAUUAUCUAUUUUUCUCUUCUUUUUUUUUUUAUUUUUUAUUUUUAUCUCAGCUUCUCUCUCCGCCCGCAUCUGCCCUUCGGUUUUGCUUCUCCUUAUGCGCUUAGUUUCUAUGUCUACUUCUGCAAGCCUGCUCCACCAGCUUCCUUCUCUCCGAAUUUUUUGAUUUUCUGCUUUUUCUCUCUGUCUCCGCCAAGCUCGCUGUUCGGUCCCAAGCUCGCAGCUGCAUUUUUGUUGCUUUCGCAUCGGAUUUCCACCAGCUCCCGUCUCUUGGUCUUCCGUCAAGCUCUUCCCUUCUCUCCUGUCAGAUCUCCUCCUUUUUGUAGGUGGCAAAAUGUAGGGUUCUUCCUUUCGCACACAACCUUCUUUCCUUUUCUAGUUGUCUUUUUAUGUUUCUGUAAUUUUUUUUUUAAUUUUUCAAACCGGCGUCGUUUUGGCCAUUUCAAGCUCCCAAAACAGCAUCGUUGGAGUGUUGGUCCUGGGUUGGGUUGCUG